CAAAAAGGAAAAAAAAGAAGUAAACAACAUCCCGUUGCGGUUAUAGUCUGAUGAUAAGUUUUGACCCGUUUCACCCGACCCGUCUGGCAAUUGUCGCCACCAAUUUGGUUUUCCUCAUACUGUAACCUUUGUUUGGUUGGGUUGGACUCUUCCCAAUGUGGCUUAUUAAUUAUUAUAGCUUCCCUCGUCUUCAACCCAACCUGGUUUUCUACACAUGCACGAGAAUGAAUAGUGUUUUCGAUUAUUUAUUAUAUCAUCAGGCCAACUCGCCCCUCGAUAAUUGAAGAACACCGCCUGUGUGGCUUUUACUCAAAUGGGAAAAAAUAAAAAUUCGACGGAAGCUCUUUGGAGAUUCGAGGACUCUCUCUUUUCCUGAAUGAAGGAGGAGAGGAGAGUAACAAUCCAUGAGCACAUUCACGUUGGAUUGGGGACAAGCAAGCUGGCCUGAACAAGAGAGCAGCAGAUAUCUUGCUAGCCACAC
Quercus lobata is the source of this 481-nucleotide long non-coding RNA. RefSeq lists it as uncharacterized. The record is from RefSeq and is a predicted model, not a curated record. Lineage: Eukaryota; Viridiplantae; Streptophyta; Magnoliopsida; Fagales; Fagaceae. The transcript is spliced from 2 exons.